CUGGAGAACAACGAGAAGAGUCCUGCUUCAGCUGUGCCAAAGAAUGGGUUCUUUUUCUUAUGGCAGCCACAUGCAGCCACAGCGGUGGUGUUGAAAUGGGAAAGGUUCCCCCGUCCCCCUUGCAGGGCGUGCGAUGGGGUGUGCUCGCCUCUUCAGUGCCCCGUUGGUCAUACCUCUAGUGGGGCAUAGAGAUGGGCAGGUUGUGGGGCUCCAACCCCAUGGCAGUGUCUAAGGGUGGAUGUUUACAGCUGAAGCCCCAGAGGGCGUGUGUUCCAGGGUGCGCUCUUAGUUCACGGUCUAUAGCUCAGUUAGACCCUCUACCUUGUCAUAAGGCCAGAGGGCUUUCUGUAUCCCGGGUUCUUGCCUUGGUGUACCGGAAGAAUCGGAUCACACGUGGGCUUGGAGAAUGACUGCAAAAUCGUAUUGAGUGGAAGUAACUCUCCACCGACAGGAGAGUCAGAAAGGAGAUGGUUUUCCCCCGGAGUUGGGCAGCUCCAGAAGGGAGAUGGCUUUCCCCUGGAGUUGGGCCGCUGGGUGCCCGGGCUGUCCUCCUACUGCCCAGGACAAACUCCACCUCGUCCCACCGGUCGAUGGCCUGCCGGGGAGCCCGCGGGCGAGCCGGCGUCUGUAGGUGUGUUCUUCUGCUGACAUGCUCUCCGUGACCAGCCGCUUCUGUCUUCUUCCACUGAUGCGUUCCUCUCGCCCUCCAGCAGCUUCUGUCUCUGCCUUGCUAGGGUCGUGGGUGUUUAUAGGCCCAGGCUGGGGGCGUGGCGGGCCAGGGUGCUCUUGGAAAAGCAGGAGUGCCUGUCCUCGCCUAGGUCCCUGGGGCUAGAGGCCUAGUCACGGACUCUGCCCUUUCUACCCCGCGCUUUCCUUCCCGGCUUCCGUAUCAUUUAAAGGGACCGUGCUCUUCCUUUCCCAGCACUCCGGCUUGAGUGUUAAAUGGCCAGCAGGAAUUAUCCACUAGAGAAGCGGAAGGGAGAGAAUGGAAAUGGCCGCAUGCAGCUCCUCUCCCUCAGACAGCUCGGGGCUCAGCGGAAUGAGCACAGUCUGCAGGACAAGUGCGGAGGACUUCAGUCCCCUCUACUGUAUAUUGGCUUUAGGACUCAAGUUGUCCCUGAAAUAGAGGAAGGUGUUUUCUAGGGUAGUGGUAAUUAUCACAGUCAAAAAAGUAGGCGAGAGCACUUAGGAAAACUGUGCGGAGAUCGGCUGCUGAUGUGUAAAUACUGCUGAAGCUGCUUAUUCAAGAUUAGAAAACCUGAGACCCAGACGGGGGAAACUGCUUUCCAUGGUUAAUCGUCAACAACUGGCCAGGAUGGGACAGAAGCCCAUACAUAGCCUUCAUUCCAGGGCUCAGAACAAAAAGAAGGCAGUGGCCUGGGCUGCACCUGAGCUUGGCUUCACAUAGGAGGGAUUCUGGAACGCAGGAUCCUGACAACGACCUCAAGGUUAGAAUGAAUGCCAAAGAUGCCUUUUUUGUGUGUGCUUUUCUUUUUUAAAUAAAAUACAAAUUGCUUAUUUCAUCUGUAAAAUGGGGAGUAUCUCACAAACUCACAAUUGUGGUAUGAGGACUGAAAUGAUCACCUGGAGUGGCGAUCCUAACCUCCAACUUUCCCUAAGAAAGAAUUCCAUUUUGUGCAUAAAAAUUCAUGCUUGUAACUAGUGUGUUUAUCCAAAAUGAG
RNAcentral lists this long non-coding RNA (1682 nucleotides) under Homo sapiens (human). Its description in RNAcentral is "HSALNT0197032". The record is from RNAcentral. Lineage: Eukaryota; Metazoa; Chordata; Mammalia; Primates; Hominidae.